UGAACAUACCUUCAACGUUGCUUCGGCGGGUUGGCCCCGGUCUCCGGGGUCCCCGGCCCUACUCGGGCGCCCGCCGGAGGUAUCUAACUCUUGAACUUUUAUGGCCUCUCUGAGUCUUUGUACUUAAUAAGUCAAAACUUUCAACAACGGAUCUCUUGGUUCUGGCAUCGAUGAAGAACGCAGCGAAAUGCGAUAAGUAAUGUGAAUUGCAGAAUUCAGUGAAUCAUCGAAUCUUUGAACGCACAUUGCGCCCGCCAGUAUUCUGGCGGGCAUGCCUGUUCGAGCGUCAUUUCAACCAUCAAGCCCCCGGCUUGUGUUGGGGACCUGCGGCUGCCGCAGGCCCUGAAAACCAGUGGCGGGCUCGCUAGUCACUCCGAGCGUAGUAAUACAUCUCGCUCAGGGCGUGCUGCGGGUUCCGGCCGUUAAAAAGCCUUAUUUACCCAAGGUUGACCUCGGAUCAGGUAGGAAGACCCGCUGAACUUAAGCAUAUCAAUAAGCGGAGGAA
RNAcentral lists this ribosomal RNA (505 nucleotides) under Torula herbarum. RNAcentral describes it as "eukaryotic LSU rRNA". The stretch from base 136 to 289 matches the Rfam family "5.8S ribosomal RNA". The record is from RNAcentral. Lineage: Eukaryota; Fungi; Ascomycota; Dothideomycetes; Pleosporales; Torulaceae.